CCUACGGGAGGCAGCAGUGAGGAAUAUUGGUCAAUGGGCGGGAGCCUGAACCAGCCAAGCCGCGUGAAGGAAGAAGGCGCCAAGCGUCGUAAACUUCUUUUGUCGGGGAACAAAGGGCGACACGUGUGGCGUUGUGAGUGUACCCGAAGAAAAAGCAUCGGCUAACUCCGUGCCAGCAGCCGAGGUAAGACGGGGGAUGCGCGCGUUAUCCGGAUGGAUUGGGGUGAAAGGGUGCGUAGGCGGUCCGGAAAGUCAGCGGUAAAAGCCCGGGGCUCAACCCCGGCGAGCCGUUGAAACUGUCGGACUAGAGCCGGCGAGACGUCCGCGGAAUUCCCGUUGUAGCGGUGAAAUGCAUAGAUAUCUCGCAGAACUCCGAUUGCGAAGGCAGCGUACCGGCGCCGGACUGACGCUGAGGCACGAAAGCGUGGGUAUCGAACAGGAUUAGAUACCCCUGUAGUC
RNAcentral lists this ribosomal RNA (459 nucleotides) under uncultured bacterium. RNAcentral's name for it is "partial 16S ribosomal RNA". It matches the Rfam family "Bacterial small subunit ribosomal RNA", at positions 338 to 795 of the family's 1533-position model. The record is from RNAcentral.